Molecule: ribosomal RNA, 131 nt
Filed under: Oenococcus oeni
Lineage: Bacteria; Bacillati; Bacillota; Bacilli; Lactobacillales; Lactobacillaceae
Description: partial 16S ribosomal RNA
Rfam family: Bacterial small subunit ribosomal RNA
Source: RNAcentral
AGUCGGAAGUACCCAAAGUCGCUUGGCUAACUUUUAGAGGCCGGUGCCUAAGGUAAAAUCGAUGACUGGGAUUAAGUCGUAACAAGGUAGCCGUAGGAGAACCUGCGGCUGGAUCACCUCCUUUCUAAGGA